Molecule: ribosomal RNA, 465 nt
Filed under: uncultured bacterium
Lineage: Bacteria
Description: partial 16S ribosomal RNA
Rfam family: Bacterial small subunit ribosomal RNA
Source: RNAcentral
CCUACGGGAGGCUGCAGUGGGGAAUAUUGCGCAAUGGGCGAAAGCCUGACGCAGCGACGCCGCGUGAGGGAUGAAGGUCUUCGGAUCGUAAACCUCUGUCAGCAGGGAAGAACGGUCACUGUGCUAAUCAGCAGUGAAUUGACGGUACCUGCAAAGGAAGCACCGGCUAACUCCGUGCCAGCAGCCGCGGUAAUACGGAGGGUGCGAGCGUUAAGCGGAAUUACUGGGCGUAAAGCGUUCGUAGGCGGUAUGUCAAGUCAAGGGGGAAAUCCCCGCGCUCAACGUGGGAACUGCCUUUGAAACUGGCAAACUGGAGUGUGUGAGAGGAUAGUGGAAUUCCAGGUGUAGGAGUGAAAUCCGUAGAUAUCUGGAGGAACAUCAGUGGCGAAGGCGACUAUCUGGCACAUAACUGACGCUGAGGAGCGAAAGCGUGGGUAGCAAACAGGAUUAGAUACCCGGGUAGUC